UUUCUGGUGGUUUAGUGGUUAGCACGUUCGCCUCACACCUCCAGGGUCGGGGGUUCGAGUCCCACCCUGUGUG
This is a non-coding RNA of Ameiurus melas (black bullhead), 73 nucleotides long. The record is from the annotation of a GenBank genome assembly. Lineage: Eukaryota; Metazoa; Chordata; Actinopteri; Siluriformes; Ictaluridae.